This 433-nucleotide ribosomal RNA is filed under the name uncultured bacterium. RNAcentral's name for it is "partial 16S ribosomal RNA". It matches the Rfam family "Bacterial small subunit ribosomal RNA", at positions 29 to 507 of the family's 1533-position model. The record is from RNAcentral.
AACGAACGCUGGCGGCAUGCCUAACACAUGCAAGUCGAACGAGACCUUCGGGCCUAGUGGCGCACGGGUGCGUAACGCGUGGGAACCUGCCCUUAGGUUCGGAAUAACUCCCCGAAAGGGGUGCUAAUACCGGAUAAUGUCUUCCGACCAAAGAUUUAUCGCCUUUGGAUGGGCCCGCGUUGGAUUAGCUAGUUGGUAGGGUAAAACCCUACCAAGGCGACGUUCCAUAGCUGGUCUGAGAGGAUGAUCAGCGACACUGGGACUGAGACACGGCCCAGAAUCCUACGGGAGGCAGCAGUGGGGAAUAUUGGACAGUGGGGGAAAGCCUGAUCCAGCAAUGACGCGUGAGUGAUGAAGGCCGUAGGGUUGUAAAGCUAUUUUACCCGGGAUGAUAAUGACAGUACCGGGAGAAUAAGCUCCGGCUAACUCCGUG